RNAcentral lists this ribosomal RNA (271 nucleotides) under uncultured bacterium. RNAcentral describes it as "partial 16S ribosomal RNA". It matches the Rfam family "Bacterial small subunit ribosomal RNA", at positions 524 to 794 of the family's 1533-position model. The record is from RNAcentral.
UACAGAGGGUGCGAGCGUUGUCCGGAAUCACUGGGCGUAAAGGGCGCGUAGGUGGCUUGGUAAGUGUGCGGUGAAAGCCCGGGGCUCAACCCCGGGUCUGCCGUGCAGACUGCCUGGCUCGAGCAUAGUAGAGGCAGGUGGAAUUCCGGGUGUAGCGGUGGAAUGCGUAGAGAUCCGGAAGAACACCGGUGGCGAAGGCGGCCUGCUGGGCUAUUGCUGACACUGAGGCGCGACAGCGUGGGGAGCAAACAGGAUUAGAUACCCCAGUAGU